Molecule: ribosomal RNA, 253 nt
Filed under: uncultured bacterium
Lineage: Bacteria
Description: partial 16S ribosomal RNA
Rfam family: Bacterial small subunit ribosomal RNA
Source: RNAcentral
UACGGGGGGGGCAAGCGUUGUUCGGAAUUACUGGGCGUAAAGGGCUUGUAGGUGGCCAACUAAGUCAAACGUGAAAUCCCUCGGCUUAACCGGGGAACUGCGUCUGAUACUGGAUGGCUUGAGUUUGGGAGAGGGACGCGGAAUUCCAGGUGUAGCGGUGAAAUGCGUAGAUAUCUGGAGGAACACCAAUGGCGAAGGCAGCUCGCUGGGACGGUACUGACGCUGAGACGCGAAAGCGUGGGGAGCGAACAGG